Molecule: long non-coding RNA, 470 nt
Organism: Orbicella faveolata
Lineage: Eukaryota; Metazoa; Cnidaria; Anthozoa; Scleractinia; Merulinidae
Source: RefSeq, a predicted model, not a curated record
AUCUUCUGUUCAGUUCAGUUAUAAGUGUUUUCUUCAAAAAGCUAGGACAUCUUGACUUCUGUAUAUAUAAUUUUAAGAAAAGCCUGCGAGUGGUUUUCCUGAUAUCUUUAUUUCGCUUACGGUAUUUUUCAGGGUCUGUCUACCCUCCUAAAUUUCGAUGAUGAUUUUCAACUUCUCCAGCAAGCCAGCGUUAGCCUGGUCAGUCGAGGAGCCGAAUGUGUAAUGAUUUCCAAAAAAUUCUUUAUAAAUCAAGCAAGUGAACUGACUAAAAAAUGGAUUAGACAUAACGUGCGGUCUUACCCUUCCAGAGAGACGCUGCAGAGAAAUCUUCAGGAGAGAAUCAACUGGGAUGCAUACAAACAAGAUGUUAUACAAACUGUAAUCGCUAGAUGAUAUUAACUUUCAUCGAUUUUGGAAUUACGCAAAGGGUUAGAAAACUUGUAAAAUUUUUAAAUCUCGGCUAAGGAAUA